AUUAGAGUUUGAUCAUGGCUCAGAUUGAACGCUGGCGGCAGGCCUAACACAUGCAAGUCGAGCGGUAGCACAGAGAGCUUGCUCUCGGGUGACGAGCGGCGGACGGGUGAGUAAUGUCUGGGAAACUGCCUGAUGGAGGGGGAUAACUACUGGAAACGGUAGCUAAUACCGCAUAACGUCGCAAGACCAAAGUGGGGGACCUUCGGGCCUCAUGCCAUCAGAUGUGCCCAGAUGGGAUUAGCUGGUAGGUGGGGUAACGGCUCACCUAGGCGACGAUCCCUAGCUGGUCUGAGAGGAUGACCAGCCACACUGGAGCUGAGACACGGUCCAGACUCCUACGGGAGGCAGCAGUGGGGAAUAUUGCACAAUGGGCGCAAGCCUGAUGCAGCCAUGCCGCGUGUAUGAAGAAGGCCUUCGGGUUGUAAAGUACUUUCAGCGGGGAGGAAGGUGUUGUGGUUAAUAACCACAGCAAUUGACGUUACCCGCAGAAGAAGCACCGGCUAACUCCGUGCCAGCAGCCGCGGUAAUACGGAGGGUGCAAGCGUUAAUCGGAAUUACUGGGCGUAAAGCGCACGCAGGCGGUCUGUCAAGUCGGAUGUGAAAUCCCCGGGCUCAACCUGGGAACUGCAUUCGAAACUGGCAGGCUUGAGUCUUGUAGAGGGGGGUAGAAUUCCAGGUGUAGCGGUGAAAUGCGUAGAGAUCUGGAGGAAUACCGGUGGCGAAGGCGGCCCCCUGGACAAAGACUGACGCUCAGGUGCGAAAGCGUGGGGAGCAAACAGGAUUAGAUACCCUGGUAGUCCACGCUGUAAACGAUGUCGAUUUGGAGGUUGUGCCCUUGAGGCGUGGCUUCCGGAGCUAACGCGUUAAAUCGACCGCCUGGGGAGUACGGCCGCAAGGUUAAAACUCAAAUGAAUUGACGGGGGCCCGCACAAGCGGUGGAGCAUGUGGUUUAAUUCGAUGCAGCGCGAAGAACCUUACCUGGUCUUGACAUCCACAGAACUUUCCAGAGAUGGAUUGGUGCCUUCGGGAACUGUGAGACAGGUGCUGCAUGGCUGUCGUCAGCUCGUGUUGUGAAAUGUUGGGUUAAGUCCCGCAACGAGCGCAACCCUUAUCCUUUGUUGCCAGCGGUUAGGCCGGGAACUCAAAGGAGACUGCCAGUGAUAAACUGGAGGAAGGUGGGGAUGACGUCAAGUCAUCAUGGCCCUUACGAGUAGGGCUACACACGUGCUACAAUGGCAUAUACAAAGAGAAGCGACCUCGCGAGAGCAAGCGGACCUCAUAAAGUAUGUCGUAGUCCGGAUUGGAGUCUGCAACUCGACUCCAUGAAGUCGGAAUCGCUAGUAAUCGUGGAUCAGAAUGCCACGGUGAAUACGUUCCCGGGCCUUGUACACACCGCCCGUCACACCAUGGGAGUGGGUUGCAAAAGAAGUAGGUAGCUUAACCUUCGGGAGGGCGCUUACCACUUUGUGAUUCAUGACUGGGGUGAAGUCGUAACAAGGUAACCGUAGAAUC
RNAcentral lists this ribosomal RNA (1512 nucleotides) under uncultured bacterium. RNAcentral describes it as "bacterial SSU rRNA". It matches the Rfam family "Bacterial small subunit ribosomal RNA". The record is from RNAcentral.